This 492-nucleotide ribosomal RNA is filed under the name uncultured bacterium. RNAcentral's name for it is "partial 16S ribosomal RNA". It matches the Rfam family "Bacterial small subunit ribosomal RNA", at positions 29 to 507 of the family's 1533-position model. The record is from RNAcentral.
AGUGAACGCUGGCGGUAGGCCUAACACAUGCAAGUCGAACGGCAGCACAGUAAGAGCUUGCUCUUACGGGUGGCGAGUGGCGGACGGGUGAGGAAUACAUCGGAAUCUACUUUUUCGUGGGGGAUAACGUAGGGAAACUUACGCUAAUACCGCAUACGACCUACGGGUGAAAGCAGGGGAUCUUCGGACCUUGCGCGAUUGAAUGAGCCGAUGUCGGAUUAGCUAGUUGGCGGGGUAAAGGCCCACCAAGGCGACGAUCCGUAGCUGGUCUGAGAGGAUGAUCAGCCACACUGGAACUGAGACACGGUCCAGACUCCUACGGGAGGCAGCAGUGGGGAAUAUUGGACAAUGGGCGCAAGCCUGAUCCAGCCAGACCGCGUGGGUGAAGAAGGCGUUCGGGUUGUAAAGCCCUUUUGUUGGGAAAGAAAAGCAGCAGGUUAAUACCCCGCUGUUCUGACGGUACCCAAAGAAUAAGCACCGGCUAACUUCGUG